UAGUCCACGCUGUAAACGAUGAGUGCUAGAUGUCGGGUGUCAAAGCCCGGUAUCGCCGUUAACACAUUAAGCACUCCGCCUGGGGAGUACGUACGCAAGUAUGAAACUCAGAGGAAUUGACGGGGACCCGCACAAGUAGCGGAGCAUGUGGUUUAAUUCGAGGCAACGCGAAGAACCUUACCAGGGCUUGACACAACAGACUAUCUUUCUAGAGAUAGAGAGGACUCCUUCGGGAGGUCUGCUAC
Molecule: ribosomal RNA, 245 nt
Filed under: uncultured bacterium
Lineage: Bacteria
Description: partial 16S ribosomal RNA
Rfam family: Bacterial small subunit ribosomal RNA
Source: RNAcentral